UACAGAGGUCCCAAGCGUUGUUCGGAUUUAUUGGGCGUAAAGGGUGCGUAGGCGGCGGAGUAAGUUGGGUGUGAAAUCCCGGGGCUCAACCUCGGAAUUGCAUUCAAUACUGCUUCGCUCGAGUACUGGAGAGGAGACUGGAAUUUACGGUGUAGCAGUGAAAUGCGUAGAUAUCGUAAGGAAGGCCGGUGGCGAAAGCGAGUCUCUGGACAGUUACUGACGCUGAUGCGCGAAGGCCAGGGGAGCAAACGGG
Molecule: ribosomal RNA, 253 nt
Filed under: uncultured bacterium
Lineage: Bacteria
Description: partial 16S ribosomal RNA
Rfam family: Bacterial small subunit ribosomal RNA
Source: RNAcentral